RNAcentral lists this ribosomal RNA (425 nucleotides) under uncultured prokaryote. Its description in RNAcentral is "bacterial SSU rRNA". It matches the Rfam family "Bacterial small subunit ribosomal RNA", at positions 355 to 774 of the family's 1533-position model. The record is from RNAcentral.
CCAAGAAUAUUCCGCAAUGGACGAAAGUCUGACGGAGCGACGCCGCGUGAGGGAAGAAGGCCUUCGGGUUGUAAACCUCUUUUGUUAGGGAAGAAUAAGCGCGUAGGAAAUGACGCGUGAUGACGGUACCUGACGAAUAAGCCCCGGCUAAUUACGUGCCAGCAGCCGCGGUAAUACGUAAGGGGCAAGCGUUGCUCGGAAUUUCUGGGCGUAAAGGGCGUGUAGGCGGCCCACCAAGUCGAAUGUAAAAAAUCACUGCUCAACAGUGGAGCUGCGUUCGAAACUGGCGGGCUUGGAUCUGGUGGAGGGUAAUGGAACUCCCGGUGUAGCGGUGAAAUGCGUAGAUAUCGGGAAGAACACCGAAGGCGAAGGCAAUUAUCCAUGCCGAGAUUGACGCUGAGGCGCGAAAGCGUGGGGAGCAAACA